This 771-nucleotide ribosomal RNA is filed under the name uncultured bacterium. RNAcentral describes it as "bacterial SSU rRNA". It matches the Rfam family "Bacterial small subunit ribosomal RNA", at positions 8 to 796 of the family's 1533-position model. The record is from RNAcentral.
AGAGUUUGAUCCUGGCUCAGGACGAACGCUGGCGGCGUGCUUAACACAUGCAAGUCGAACGGAAAGGCCCUUCGGGGUACUCGAGUGGCGAACGGGUGAGUAACACGUGGGUGAUCUGCCCUGCACUUUGGGAUAAGCCUGGGAAACUGGGUCUAAUACCGAAUAGGACCACGCGCUUCAUGGUGUGUGGUGGAAAGCUUUUGCGGUGUGGGAUGGGCCCGCGGCCUAUCAGCUUGUUGGUGGGGUAAUGGCCUACCAAGGCGACGACGGGUAGCCGGCCUGAGAGGGUGACCGGCCACACUGGGACUGAGAUACGGCCCAGACUCCUACGGGAGGCAGCAGUGGGGAAUAUUGCACAAUGGGCGCAAGCCUGAUGCAGCGACGCCGCGUGAGGGAUGACGGCCUUCGGGUUGUAAACCUCUUUCAGCACAGACGAAGCGCAAGUGACGGUAUGUGCAGAAGAAGGACCGGCCAACUACGUGCCAGCAGCCGCGGUAAUACGUAGGGUCCGAGCGUUGUCCGGAAUUACUGGGCGUAAAGAGCUCGUAGGUGGUUUGUCGCGUUGUUCGUGAAAACUCACAGCUUAACUGUGGGCGUGCGGGCGAUACGGGCAGACUUGAGUACUGCAGGGGAGACUGGAAUUCCUGGUGUAGCGGUGGAAUGCGCAGAUAUCAGGAGGAACACCGGUGGCGAAGGCGGGUCUCUGGGCAGUAACUGACGCUGAGGAGCGAAAGCGUGGGGAGCGAACAGGAUUAGAUACCCUGGUAGUCC